Long non-coding RNA from Ctenopharyngodon idella (grass carp), 2766 nucleotides. RefSeq lists it as uncharacterized. The record is from RefSeq and is a predicted model, not a curated record. The transcript is spliced from 2 exons. Lineage: Eukaryota; Metazoa; Chordata; Actinopteri; Cypriniformes; Xenocyprididae.
UUCAUACAAACUCAACUGCCGCCAUCUUGCAUCUAUAAUUUCUUCAGAGUAUGAAUAUAAUGUAAUAUUAUUACAGUGUUUGUCAAUGCAGAGGUUUUUGGUUAAAUGCCUGAAGUGAGGUCUGUGGUGAACACAAGCUCAAGAUAUUUUCACGUUUUAUUCUAUGAUAUAAAAUACAUCAAUAAUACCCUCUUGUGAAUUAUUAUUUUUUUUUAAAGCUUUGACUUGUCUAGUAAAAUGCAGUUGCUAACAAAGGUCUAAGUGGGACAGCAGAGGAUGUUGAGGACAUUAAACAUCAUCAGCCUAAAGACUUUAAAUAAAGAGUUGUUGGAAGCUUAGUGGUGACGUUGAAGUCAUGUGACCGUGAUGUAGUUUGUUUACAUUUAGCUUUUUACUACAGCAUAUUAUAUUUGUUCUUCAAAAUUCAUAAACAUUGUGUGAUUUGCGAAGAUUAUCAUGAUGAACAAAACGUGUAAGUAUCAUAAACUUUUGUUAUUCACAGACCUUAUUUUCUGCAGUAAUACAAAGGCCAAUUGAAAAAUCCUAUUGGGUUUUUGUCGAGGGAACCAGGGUGAUGCGAACACAGGUUUAUUUUGUUUAAAGUCCAUAAUUGUUCAUUUAGUUCUUCCCUUCUGAAGCUACAGAAGAUCCUUACAGUACAUGUUUUCCAGAAGACAAAAUAAGUAAAAUUUACCCUGAUAUUCAAAUUUAAAGUUCCCCCUCCCUUAAUACAUGGAGUCUCCUUCUGGAGCAUUCUUUUCUUUUUAAUGAUUCCUCUUAAUUCGUUAAAAUAAUUAACAUUUUGCAGAUUCUGCAAGGUGUAUAAAACUUUGGACCUCAACUGUACAUGCAGGGCAGUUAUUAUCACAAAAUAAACCUGGCCUGGGAACACAAAGUAAAUAAUUAGACAGAAUAUUAAUUUGAGUUGAAAUAUUUUAUUAGCUCAUUAAACACAAAGCUUCAGUGAAUAAAAAUAGCAAGCAGCUUUGAUCAGUUAGCAAGCACUAUAUUACAAUAGCUCUAUAAUAGUUAGCAAGCACUACAUUAAUGAAACUGACUUGACUUGAUCAGAAGGCAUUGUAAAAAUAGGAGAUUAGUGGCGAGAUAUAUGAUUUUUACUUUUUUUUUUUUUUUUGCCAGAAGCAGAGCCAGGAGCCAGUUAUAACAUACAAGAGAUUGAACCUCUCCCUGUGGAAGACACAGUGGUUUAAGAGAGAUAGAGUGGAGCAGUCUUCAGGAUAAUCAACAGCCGUUCAGAUGAGAGGAGAUCUUCCAGCAUUGAUGAAGAACCAUGACCACACUUGGAUCAUUCCAUUUCAAAUCAACAAAAUUUCAGAAACUUUCCCAGCUCAAACGCUUCACCUUAUUAUUUCCACGGAGACGCGUCAUGCUUGUCAUGUGAUAUAAAACCUAAGAGUUAUUCUAACUAACCUUUUUUAGUAAACUUUACUUAACGUCCAAUAAUUUGUUGAACUUACUUAAAGGGAUAGUUCACCCAAAAAUGAAAACUCUGUCAUCAUUUACUCACCUUCAAGUUGUUCCAAACCUGUAUACAUUUCUUUGUUCUGUUGAACACAAAGGAAGAUAUUUUGAAGAAAGUUUGCAACCAGGCUGUUUUGGGGCACCAUUGAAAAGGUUUUUAAGGCAGGGCGAUUCUUAAUCUUUUUUAGUUGCAUUCUAUCAUUUUCUCAAAGUGAUCUUGAAUGUUCAAUUAUCAAUACAACUAAAACUUUUGAGUGAACGUCACAUAAGUUGAUGUCACAAAUUCAUGUUGAUUUCCUAAAAUUUUUCUCAGCGUUUUAGUGAUUAGUGUCCCCUCUGGUUGUGCACUUGGAACUUCACUUAUAUUAUUAUAACUCUCUUCCAAUUGAUUUCCAAACAGGAAAUUACAGUUAUUUGUGGUUUCAAAGGAAGAGACAUAUCAAAUAGAUUGUUCUUAAAAAGUGACCUAAUUUAAUAACUAAUUUAGACUUUGUGUAGAAUUUUAGUUUAUUAGAUUGUAUCGCUAACAUAUCAUAAACACCAUACUAUUGUGAAACAUCAAACUUUUAAGGGGGUUGAUUCGUCUCUAGUUAAGACAGUGCCUUGCAAUCAACCUUGCUUGAGUCACACACAGACAUCAAGAUUCAACACAACAAUCGUUGUUUUUGUUUUUUUUCUUCCUGUAGAGCUCCAACCUGAACACACUUGAACUAAUAAUCAGCAUUUUCAGGGUAGAAAUUCUCAGGCUGGUGUGUUAGUGUUGGUUGGAACUAAAAACGCCUUGAAGCUGGUCCUCCUUAGGAGAUGAUUGGACACUCCUGAGACAGAAAUCUGUGUCUGAAAUGUUUGGAACUAUUUGAUCUUGUAACCUAUGUGGGGGGUUACAGUGUAUCUAUGUACAGUGUAUGUACAAUAUAUGUAUAUAUGUGUGUAUGUGUAAGUAUAUUUAUAUUGUAUAUACAAAGUAUAAAAUAUUUUUCUAAGUAUGGGCACAAAUGUGCUCUUUCCAUUUGUUUCUGCCCUCUAGUGGACAUAUUGUGAAAUCAGAUAAUAAUUAAAUAUUCAUAUUUGCUGAAAGAUAUAAGGGCAAUCAGAGAGCAGACAGAGACUGAAAAAACAGCAGGGUUCAUACACAUUUUAACCAAUACAUUUCCAAGACUUUUGAGGCUUUUUCAAUAUUCAUGACCUAAUGUUCCAUUAAAGUCUAUGUAUACAAAAAAAUCCAGGUACCAUUGGUGAUUUACCAUUGCAUAUCUUGAAUAAAAUUAAUGACUAUUAAUUCUA